Molecule: long non-coding RNA, 2290 nt
Organism: Piliocolobus tephrosceles (Ugandan red Colobus)
Lineage: Eukaryota; Metazoa; Chordata; Mammalia; Primates; Cercopithecidae
Source: Ensembl
UACAAAUAACUUAGUAGAUGCAAAUAACUUAAUCGUUACAAAUAACAAUUUAAAAGGAGUAAAAAAAUAUAAAUAUAAUUUAUUAGAUAAUUUAAAGGAUGUACAAGUACCUCAAGUCAAUAAAAUGAAUAGUGUAACAAAAACUUAUGCACAUACUGACAAUUUGAAUGAUACACUAAAAGGUUAUGAACAGAAUCAUAAUAUUUUAUAUAAAAAUUCAUUAAAUAGUAGUAAUAAUAAUAACAACAUGAUAAUUAAUGAUAAAGCUGUUAUUAAACCUAAUGAAAUAAUAAUACCUUAUUGUAAUUUAUUAAAUAAUGACCCAGACAAUAAUUAUAAUAAUAUUAAUGAAAAUGGGAAUAGUAACAGUUGUAAUAAUAACAUGACCAAUGUUGGUACUAGUGGUGGUACAAAUUGCGGUUCUAGUGGUGGUACAAAUUGCGGUUCUAGUGGUGGUACAAAUUGCUGUUCUAGUGGUGGUACAAAUUGCGGUACUAAUGGCAAUAAUAUUAUUAUUAUUCAGAAUAAAAACAAAAUGAAAUUGAUAAACUCAACAAAUAUAGAUAUUAUAAAUUCUUUAAACCCUCUUGAAAAUAAUGAAAAUAAAAAUAUGAACAAGAUGACUAAUACUACUAAUUUUAUUCACAAUUUUAAUAAUAAUAAUUAUAAUAAGAGUUGUAAUUAUAAUAAGAGUUGUAAUAAUAAUAAGAGUUGUAAUAAUAAUAAGAGUUGUAAUAAUAAUGAGAGUUGUAAUAAUAAUGAGAGUUGUAAUAAUAAUAAGAGUUGUAAUAAUAAUAAGAGUUGUAAUAAUAAUAGUAGUGGUAAUGGUGAUAAUAGUUGUAAUGACAUAAGUAUGCAAAAAAAAAUAAAUUAUACAAACCCAUUGGAUUUAUAUGUACACGACAAUAUAAGAAAUGACUCACAUGCGGAUAACAUACAAGCUAUUCGUAUAAAUAUGAAUAACAGCACAUGUGUAGAUAUAACAUGUAAUAACAAUAACCAUGACAAUUAUAAUAAAAAUAUUAACAAUACUAUCUGCAAUAAUGCAAACAGUAAUAAUAUGAUAAAUAUAGAUGACGUACAUAAUAAUAAACUAAUUUCUCCAAAAAAAUAUAUAAUACCUCAAAUAUUGUAUGACAAAACAAAAACCAACAGUAUACCGCUAGAUGCACACUUUUUAAAAAAUGAUCAUAAUAAUAUUAUGAAUACUGUUGCUAGUAGCAAUAAUAGUAAUAAUGGAGGAUCCAUUAUAAACACUAAUAUUACAAACGAUAAAUUAUUAUCAAUUAAUAGUGAUAAAUUAAUGAUUGAAGAUCCAAGGAAUGUUAAAAAAAAAAUCAUUAUGAAUUAUAGAGGAUUAAAUUUGUUGAAUAAUGAUACAACAAAUGAUUAUAAUAAUGUAGGUCAUAAUAAUAAUGACAGAUUAAAUAAUGUAAAAACCACUAGUUAUCAAAGCAUUGACAAUAAUAAUAAUAAUAAUAAUAAUAAUAGUAAUAAUAAUAAUAAUAAUAAUAAUAGUAAUAGUAAUAAUAAUAAUAAUAGUAAUAAUAAUAGUAAUAAUAGUAAUAAUAAUAGUAAUAAUAGUAAUAAUAAUAAUAAUAAUAGUAAUAAUAAUAAUAAUAAUAAUAAUAGUAAUAGUAAUAAUAAUAGUAAUAGUAAUAAUAAUAAUAAUAAUAAUAGUAAUAAUAAUAAUAGUAAUAAUAAUAAUAGUAAUAAUAAUAGUAAUAAUAAUAAUAGUAACAAUAAUAAUAAUAAUAGUAACAAUAAUAAUAAUAAUAAUAAUAAUAAUAGUAAUAAUAAUAAUAAAAAAACUAUUAGUUAUUUACAGACUCAACCACAAAUAAUAAACGGAAAUAAUGAAAAUAUAAAAACAGAUGUAAAAAAUAAUAUACUUUUAAAUAAUAUAAAACAUACUAAUACCAACAUAAUGAAUAAAAAUAAUAUUAUUUUUGUAAAUGAUAAAAAUUGUUUUUUUCAACAUAUUGAACAAAACCACAAAAAUAAUAACAUUUAUGAUUGUAUGAAUUAUAAAGAAAGUAUAUAUAAUAAUAAAAAUGAUAAUACUAGUGUUUGUGAUAAUUGUAAUAUAAUUGUUGGUAAUGGUAAUGGUAUGAGUACUGUUGGUAGUAAUGACAUUAAUCCUACUGGUAGUAAUAACGACAAUAAUAAUUACGUUUGUGAUAAUUCAUAUAGUUAUGCUGAAAAACAAAAAAAUAUAUAUUCUAAUAAAAAUUUUAAAACAUUAACAGAAACAAAUUUAAACAAUGAAUCUUAUAAUUCAAAAAAUUUA